Molecule: ribosomal RNA, 464 nt
Filed under: uncultured bacterium
Lineage: Bacteria
Description: partial 16S ribosomal RNA
Rfam family: Bacterial small subunit ribosomal RNA
Source: RNAcentral
CUACGGGUUGCAGCAGUCGAGAAGCUUCGGCAAUGGACGAAAGUCUGACCGAGCGACGCCGCGUGAGUGAAGAAGGUCUUCGGAUCGUAAAACUCUGUCAGGGGGGAAGAAACACGGAUUGGCUAAUACCCUUUCCGCUUGACGGUACCCCCAGAGGAAGCUCCGGCUAACUCCGUGCCAGCAGCCGCGGUAAUACGGAGGGAGCAAACGUUGUUCGGAAUCACUGGGCGUAAAGGGCUCGUAGGCGGCUUCCUAAGGCAGUGGUGAAAACCUGUGGCUCAACCACAGGCCUGCCCCUGAACUGGGAAGCUUGAGGCUGUGAGGGGAGAGGGGAAUUCCUGGUAUAUCGGUGAAAUGAGUUGAUAUCAGGAGGAACACCCGUGGCGAAGGCGCCUCUCUGGCACAGUACUGACGCUGAGGAGCGAAAGCGUGGGGAGCAAACAGGAUUAGAUACCCUCGUAGUC